Molecule: ribosomal RNA, 274 nt
Filed under: uncultured bacterium
Lineage: Bacteria
Description: partial 16S ribosomal RNA
Rfam family: Bacterial small subunit ribosomal RNA
Source: RNAcentral
AUACGAAGGGCCCGAGCGUUAAUCGGAAUCAUUGGGCUUAAAGGGUGCGUAGGCGGACCCGCAAGUGUCUUGUGAAAUCCCACGGCUCAACCGUGGAACUGCUGGGCAUACUGCGGGCCUUGAGGUCGGCAGAGGUCGCCGGAACUCUAGGUGUAGCGGUGAAAUGCGUAGAUAUCUAGAGGAACGCCAAAGGCGAAGGCAGGUGGCUGGGCCGAUUCUGACGCUGAGGCACGAAAGCAUGGGUAGCGAACGGGAUUAGAUACCCCAGUAGUCC